CCCAGACUCCUACGGGAGGCAGCAGUGGGGAAUAUUGCGCAAUGGGCGAAAGCCUGACGCAGCGACGCCGCGUGGGGGAUGAAGGUCUUCGGAUCGUAAACCUCUGUCAGCAGGGAAGAACGGUCACUGUGCUAAUCAGCAGUGAAUUGACGGUACCUGCAAAGGAAGCAUCGGCUAACUCCGUGCCAGCAGCCGCGGUAAUACGGAGGAUGCGAGCGUUAUCCGGAUUUAUUGGGUUUAAAGGGUGCGUAGGCGGGACGGUAAGUCAGCGGUAAAAAUGCGGAGCUCAACCCCGUCGAGCCGUUGAAACUGCCGUUCUUGAGUGAGCGAGAAGUAUGCGGAAUGCGUGGUGUAGCGGUGAAAUGCAUAGAUAUCACGCAGAACUCCGAUUGCGAAGGCAGCAUACCGGCGCUCAACUGACGCUGAAGCACGAAAGCGUGGGUAUCGAACAGGAUUAGAUACCCCCGUAGA
RNAcentral lists this ribosomal RNA (471 nucleotides) under uncultured bacterium. RNAcentral's name for it is "bacterial SSU rRNA". It matches the Rfam family "Bacterial small subunit ribosomal RNA", at positions 330 to 794 of the family's 1533-position model. The record is from RNAcentral.